AGAAACUUAGGUUAACCAGCUAGACCAAGAGCCUUCAAAGCCCUAAGUGGGAGUUGAAACCUCCCAGUUCCUG
RNAcentral lists this transfer RNA (73 nucleotides) under Scolopsis vosmeri (whitecheek monocle bream). RNAcentral's name for it is "tRNA-Trp". It matches the Rfam family "tRNA". From Rfam's summary of the family: Transfer RNA (tRNA) molecules are approximately 80 nucleotides in length. Their secondary structure includes four short double-helical elements and three loops (D, anti-codon, and T loops). Further hydrogen bonds mediate the characteristic L-shaped molecular structure. tRNAs have two regions of fundamental functional importance: the anti-codon, which is responsible for specific mRNA codon recognition, and the 3' end, to which the tRNAs corresponding amino acid is attached (by aminoacyl-tRNA synthetases). tRNAs cope with the degeneracy of the genetic code in two manners: having more than one tRNA (with a specific anti-codon) for a particular amino acid; and 'wobble' base-pairing, i.e. permitting non-standard base-pairing at the 3rd anti-codon position. The record is from RNAcentral. Lineage: Eukaryota; Metazoa; Chordata; Actinopteri; Spariformes; Nemipteridae.